Molecule: ribosomal RNA, 253 nt
Filed under: uncultured bacterium
Lineage: Bacteria
Description: partial 16S ribosomal RNA
Rfam family: Bacterial small subunit ribosomal RNA
Source: RNAcentral
UACGUAGGUGGCGAGCGUUAUUCGGAGUUAUUGGGCGUAAAGGGUCCGUAGGGGGUUUGUUAAGUUUGAUGUGAAAUGCUGAGGCUCAACCUCAGAACUGCAUUGGAUACUGGCAGACUAGAGCAUAUGAGAGGAAAGUGGAAUUCCAGGUGUAGCGGUGGAAUGCGUAGAUAUCUGGAGGAACACCAAUUGCGAAGGCAGCUUUCUGGAAUAUUGCUGACCCUGAGGGACGAAAGCUAGGUUAGCGAACAGG